GGGGAAGCUCUGCUGAUCUCAAUUAAUUCAGGGCAGGCUGAUAGAGCAGCUACCAUCUCGAAUAGCUCCAGCAGCCAUGCCAGUGAGGGAGAAAGAUCGCUGGAGGGUUGCGGGCUAAUGGCUGUCUACCGGAAGUGGCGAACAUCACUUCCGCUCACAGCUCGCUGGUCAGAAAGACUUAGCAGGUUGCGCUCAAUCGCAAGAGACCAGGAAAAGUAUUCCAACCGUGUAUGCAAUAGAGGGAAGAACCAUAAAUCUGUGCCGGUCAGCGGCAAUGACCAUCACUUUCUGAACAAGUGUGACCUGAUGAUGCAGUCACCAGUCUUGUCUCAGGCAGAGGACUGGAACUAACACAAGUGAGGCCAGAAGUGGACUGAGAACACAGGCAAUAAGAUGGGGACUUGAGACUGGCUCAUCGACUGUGCAGAGGAUGAAGGAAAUACCCUCCUGGUUGGCAAGUAAGCAGGGAUAGUCUCCGUCACAAGAUUGCAUGCCAAAUCAGCCUGAAGCAAUGACUCCUUCUAGCAGAAAAGCUGAGGCAGAGCCUGAAGCUUGCAUGAGAAGUUCCAGAGACCAGGAAGUCCAAGAUCAAGGUGCCAGUCCAUUCGGGGCCUGCUGAGAACUCUCUCCUGGCUGAGAAACAGCUGCCUUCUCGCUGUGUCCUCGAUGGUCUUAUAAGGAUACUAAUCUCAUAAGGAUGAGAGUCCCACCUUCGAGACCUCAUCUAAACCUAAUUACAUCCCAAAGGCCCUACCUCCACCUACCAUCACAUGUGAGUUAGGAC
This 784-nucleotide long non-coding RNA is filed under the name Equus caballus (horse). RNAcentral's name for it is "lncRNA (ENSECAG00000050111.1)". Lineage: Eukaryota; Metazoa; Chordata; Mammalia; Perissodactyla; Equidae. The record is from RNAcentral.